CGCUAUCACUCCUACGAGGCAGCAGUGAGGAAUAUUGGUCAAUGGGUCGCAAGACUGAACCAGCCAUGCCGCGUGCAGGAAGACGGUCCUAUGGAUUGUAAACUGCUUUUAUACAGGAAGAAACCCUCCCACGUGUGGGAGCUUGACGGUACUGUAGGAAUAAGGAUCGGCUAACUCCGUGCCAGCAGCCGCGGUAAUACGGAGGAUCCAAGCGUUAUCCGGAAUCAUUGGGUUUAAAGGGUCCGUAGGCGGCCUUAUAAGUCAGUGGUGAAAGCCCAUCGCUCAACGAUGGAACUGCCAUUGAUACUGUAAGGCUUGAAUUAUUGUGAAGUAACUAGAAUAUGUAGUGUAGCGGUGAAAAUGCUUAGAUAUUACAUGGAAUACCAAUUGCGAAGGCAGGUUACUAACAAUGGAUUGACGCUGAUGGACGAAAGCGUGGGGAGCGAACAGGAUUAGAUACCCUGGUAG
This 468-nucleotide ribosomal RNA is filed under the name uncultured bacterium. Its description in RNAcentral is "bacterial SSU rRNA". It matches the Rfam family "Bacterial small subunit ribosomal RNA", at positions 328 to 793 of the family's 1533-position model. The record is from RNAcentral.